RNAcentral lists this unclassified non-coding RNA (375 nucleotides) under uncultured bacterium. RNAcentral describes it as "contains 16S-23S intergenic spacer region". The record is from RNAcentral.
UCCGGCUUGUCGCCGGCGGUCCCUUUAGAGUGCCCAACUGAAUGAUGGCAACUAAAGGAGAGGGUUGCGCUCAUUGCGGGACUUAACCCAACAUCUCACGACACGAGCUGACGACAGCCAUGCAGCAUCUGUGGUGCACCCUCGAAGGUCACACGUUUCCGUGCGCUUGCAGCACCAUGUCAAGCCCAGGUAAGGUUCUUCGCGUUGCAUCGAAUUAAAGAACAUGCUCCACCGCUUGUGCGGGCCCCCGUCAAUUCCUUUGAGUUUCAGCCUUGCGGCCGUACUUCCCAGGCGGGGCACUUAAUGCGUUAGCUCCGACACCGAAUGCGUCUAUACACCCGGCAUCUAGUGCCCAUCGUUUACGGCGUGGACUAC